This 253-nucleotide unclassified non-coding RNA is filed under the name Hevea brasiliensis (rubber tree). Lineage: Eukaryota; Viridiplantae; Streptophyta; Magnoliopsida; Malpighiales; Euphorbiaceae. The record is from RNAcentral.
UCUGUCAAUGAUCUCUUGGCAUGCUGUGGUUUUUUGUGUGGAGAUGGUUGUAAUGGAGGGGAUCCUAUCUAUGCAUGGAGAUACUUUGUCCACCAUGGUGUUGUCACAGAAGAGUGUGACCCAUACUUCGAUGAUAUUGGCUGUUCCCACCCGGGGUGUACCCCUGAAUUUCCUACUCCAAAGUGUGUAAGAAAGUGCAUCAACAAGAACCAGCUCUGGAGACGGUCAAAGCAUUACGGUGUCAAUGCAUAUA